This 501-nucleotide ribosomal RNA is filed under the name uncultured bacterium. Its description in RNAcentral is "partial 16S ribosomal RNA". It matches the Rfam family "Bacterial small subunit ribosomal RNA", at positions 30 to 523 of the family's 1533-position model. The record is from RNAcentral.
AUUGAACGCUGGCGGCAGGCUUAACACAUGCAAGUCGAGCGGGGAAGGGUAGCUUGCUACCUGACCUAGCGGCGGACGGGUGAGUAAUGCUUAGGAAUCUGCCUAUUAGUGGGGGACAACAUUCCGAAAGGAAUGCUAAUACCGCAUACGCCCUACGGGGGAGAGCAGGGGAUCUUCGGACCUUGCGCUAAUAGAUGAGCCUAAGUCAGAUUAGCUAGUUGGUGGGGUAAAGGCCUACCAAGGCGACGAUCUGUAGCGGGUCUGAGAGGAUGAUCCGCCACACUGGGACUGAGACACGGCCCAGACUCCUACGGGAGGUAGCAGUGGGGAAUAUUGGACAAUGGGCGCAAGCCUGAUCCAGCCAUGCCGCGUGUGUGAAGAAGGCCUUUUGGUUGUAAAGCACUUUAAGCGAGGAGGAGGCUACUUGGAUUAAUACUCUAGGAUAGUGGACGUUACUCGCAGAAUAAGCACCGGCUAACUCUGUGCCAGCCGCCGCCGUAA